This 30-nucleotide non-coding RNA is filed under the name Homo sapiens (human). Lineage: Eukaryota; Metazoa; Chordata; Mammalia; Primates; Hominidae. The record is from RNAcentral.
UAAACUCAACUUCAGAGGGCUUCAACUGUA